This 408-nucleotide ribosomal RNA is filed under the name uncultured bacterium. RNAcentral's name for it is "partial 16S ribosomal RNA". It matches the Rfam family "Bacterial small subunit ribosomal RNA", at positions 28 to 526 of the family's 1533-position model. The record is from RNAcentral.
GACGAACGCUGGCGGCGUGCCUAAUACAUGCAAGUCGACCUUAGUGGCGAACGGGUUAUUAACACGUGGGUAACCUGCCCAUCAAAAGGGGCUAACACUUGGCUACAGGUGCUAAUACCGUAUACUGGUGGAUGUACCCGCUGGGCAUUAGCUAGUUGGUGGGGUAACGGCUCACCAAGGCCACGAUGCAUAGCCGACCGGAGAGGGUGAUCGGCCAAAUUGGGACUGAGACACGGCCCAAACUCCUACGGGAGGCAGCAGUAGGGAAUCUUCGGCAAUGGACGAAAGUCUGACCGAGCAACGCCGCGUGAGUGAAGAAGGUUUUCGGAUCGUAAAACUCUGUUGUUAGAGAAGCGGUAUCUAAACAGGAAGCCACGGCUAACUCCGUGCCAGCCGCCGCGGUAAUUC